AGUGAACGCUGGCGGUAGGCCUAACACAUGCAAGUCGAACGGCAGCACAGGAGAGCUUGCUCUCUGGGUGGCGAGUGGCGGACGGGUGAGGAAUACAUCGGAAUCUACUCUGUCGUGGGGGAUAACGUAGGGAAACUUACGCUAAUACCGCAUACGACCUACGGGUGAAAGCAGGGGACCUUCGGGCCUUGCGCGAUUGAAUGAGCCGAUGUCGGAUUAGCUAGUUGGCGGGGUAAAGGCCCACCAAGGCGACGAUCCGUAGCUGGGCUGAGAGUAUCAUCAGCCACACUGGAACUGAGAAACGGUCCAGACUCCUACGGGAGGCAGCAGUGGGGAAGAUUGGACAAUGGGCGCAAGCCUGAUCCAGCCAGACCGCGUGGGUGAAGAAGGCCUUCGGGUUGUAAAGCCCUGUUGUUGGGAAAGAAAUCCAGCUGGCUAAUACCCGGUUGGGAUGACGGUACCCAAAGAAUAAGCACCGGCUAACUUCGUGCCAGCCGCCGCCGUAC
RNAcentral lists this ribosomal RNA (506 nucleotides) under uncultured bacterium. RNAcentral describes it as "partial 16S ribosomal RNA". It matches the Rfam family "Bacterial small subunit ribosomal RNA", at positions 29 to 523 of the family's 1533-position model. The record is from RNAcentral.